GAUGAACGCUGGCGGCGUGCUUAACACAUGCAAGUCGAACGGAAAGGCUCCUGCUUGCAGGGGUACUCGAGUGGCGAACGGGUGAGUAACACGUGGGUGAUCUGCCCUGCACUUCGGGAUAAGCCUGGGAAACUGGGUCUAAUACCGGAUAGGACGAUGGUUUGGAUGCCAUUGUGGAAAGUUUUUCGGAGUGGGAUGAGCUCGCGGCCUAUCAGCUUGUUGGUGGGGUAAUGGCCUACCAAGGCGUCGACGGGUAGCCGGCCUGGGAGGGUGUCCGGCCCCAUUGGGACUGGGAUACCGGCCGGACUCCUACGGGGGGCAGGAGUGGGGAAUAUUGCACGAUGGGCGCAAGCCUGAUGCAGCGACGCCGCGUGGGGGAUGACGGCCUUCGGGUUGUAAACUCCUUGCGCUAGGGACGAAGCGCAAGUGACGGUACCUGGAGAAGAAGCACCGGCUAACUACGUG
RNAcentral lists this ribosomal RNA (465 nucleotides) under uncultured bacterium. Its description in RNAcentral is "partial 16S ribosomal RNA". It matches the Rfam family "Bacterial small subunit ribosomal RNA", at positions 28 to 507 of the family's 1533-position model. The record is from RNAcentral.